This 497-nucleotide ribosomal RNA is filed under the name uncultured bacterium. RNAcentral describes it as "partial 16S ribosomal RNA". It matches the Rfam family "Bacterial small subunit ribosomal RNA", at positions 28 to 507 of the family's 1533-position model. The record is from RNAcentral.
GAUGAACGCUGGCGGCGUGCCUAAUACAUGCAAGUCGAGCGAACGGACGAGAAGCUUGCUUCUCUGAUGUUAGCGGCGGACGGGUGAGUAACACGUGGAUAACCUACCUAUAAGACUGGGAUAACUUCGGGAAGCCGGAGCUAAUACCGGAUGAUAUUUUGAACCGCAUGGUUCAAAAGUGAAAGACGGUCUUGCUGUCACUUAUAGAUGGAUCCGCGCUGCAUUAGCUAGUUGGUAAGGUAACGGCUUACCAAGGCAACGAUGCAUAGCCAACCUGAGAGGGUGAUCGGCCACACUGGAACUGAGACACGGUCCAGACUCCUACGGGAGGCAGCAGUAGGGAAUCUUCCGCAAUGGGCGAAAGCCUGACGGAGCAACGCCGCGUGAGUGAUGAAGGUCUUCGGAUCGUAAAACUCUGUUAUUAGGGAAGAACAUAUGUGUAAGUAACUGUGCACAUCUUGACGGUACCUAAUCAGAAAGCCACGGCUAACUACGUG